UACGUAGGGCGCAAGCGUUGUCCGGAAUUAUUGGGCGUAAAGAGCUCGUAGGCGGCUUGUCACGUCGGGUGUGAAAGCCCGGGGCUUAACCCCGGGUCUGCAUUCGAUACGGGCUAGCUAGAGUGUGGUAGGGGAGAUCGGAAUUCCUGGUGUAGCGGUGAAAUGCGCAGAUAUCAGGAGGAACACCGGUGGCGAAGGCGGAUCUCUGGGUCUCAACUGACGCUGAUGCACGAAAGCUAGGGUAGCGAACGGG
RNAcentral lists this ribosomal RNA (253 nucleotides) under uncultured bacterium. Its description in RNAcentral is "partial 16S ribosomal RNA". It matches the Rfam family "Bacterial small subunit ribosomal RNA", at positions 524 to 776 of the family's 1533-position model. The record is from RNAcentral.